CCUACGGGAGGCAGCAGUAAGGGAUAUUGGUCAAUGGGGGAAACCCUGAACCAGCAACGCCGCGUGGGGGAAGACGGGUUUCGGAGUGUAAAGCUCUGUCCUCAGUGAAGAUGAUGACGGUAGCUGAGGAGGAAGCCCCGGCUAACUACGUGCCAGCAGCCGCGGUAAUACGUAGGGGGCGAGCGUUGUCCGGAUUUACUGGGUGUAAAGGGGGCGUAGGCGGCGUGGCAAGUCAGUAGUGAAAGCCAGGGGCCUAACCCAUGGACUGCUAUUGAAACUGGCGAGCUUGAGUGAAGUAGGGGCAGGCGGAAGUCCCGGUGUAGCGGUGAAAUGCGUAGAGAUCGGGAGGAACACCGGUGGCGAAGGCGGCCUACUGGGCUUUAACUGACGCUGAGGCACGAAAGCGUGGGUAGCAAACAGGAUUAGAUACCCGUGUAGUC
Molecule: ribosomal RNA, 440 nt
Filed under: uncultured bacterium
Lineage: Bacteria
Description: partial 16S ribosomal RNA
Rfam family: Bacterial small subunit ribosomal RNA
Source: RNAcentral